AUGCAAUUUUAUUCUGACUCUUUCUCCCUCUGUUCCUCUCUGCUCUGCUCUCUGACUCGAACUGCAACAAUGGCUGCCCCGACCUCUGCGAUCGGGUUUGAGGGCUACGAGAAGCGCCUCGAGAUCACCUUCUCCGAGGCAUCAAUCUUUGCCGACCCUCAUGGUCGUGGCCUGCGCGCCCUCUCCAGGGCCCAGAUUGACUCUGUUCUUGAUCUUGCACGGUGCACCAUUGUGUCCGAGCUCUCCAACAAGGACUUCGACUCCUAUGUGCUAUCUGAGUCGAGCCUGUUCAUCUACUCUCAGAAGAUUGUGAUCAAGACCUGUGGGACUACCAUGCUCCUGCUCACCAUUCCUAGGAUUCUUGAGCUUGCUGAAGAGCUGUGCAUGCCGCUUGCUGCCGUGAAGUACUCUCGUGGGAUGUUCAUCUUCCCCGGCGCACAGCCUGCUCCCCACAGGAGCUUCUCUGAGGAGGUUGAUGUCCUGAACCGCUACUUCGGCCACCUGAAGUCUGGCGGCAAUGCUUAUGUGAUCGGAGACCCAGCGAAGCCUGGCCAGAAGUGGCACAUCUACUAUGCCACCGAGCAACCUGAGCAGCCCAUGGUCACCCUGGAGAUGUGCAUGACUGGGCUGGACAAGAAGAAGGCCUCUGUCUUCUUCAAGACUCAAGCUGAUAGCCACGUUUCCUGCGCCAAGGAGAUGACCAAGCUCUCUGGUAUCUCCGACAUCAUUCCCGAGAUGGAGGUCUGUGACUUCGACUUCGAGCCCUGCGGCUACUCCAUGAACGCCAUCAACGGAUCUGCCGUCUCCACCAUCCAUGUGACCCCCGAGGACGGCUUCAGCUAUGCGAGCUACGAGGUCAUGGGCAUGGACGCCUCCGCCCUGGCCUACGGCGACAUCGUCAAGAGGGUCCUCCGGUGCUUUGGCCCUUCAGAGUUCUCUGCGGCGGUCACCAUCUUUGGUGGCCGCGGCCACGCCGCCACCUGGGGCAAGAAGCUCGACGCCGAGGCAUACGACUGCAACAACGUUGUGGAGCAGGAGCUCCCCUGUGGAGGCGUCCUCAUCUACCAGAGCUUUACCGUGAACGAAGAGGUUGCUGUCUCUGCCGGGUCGCCCAGGUCCGUCUUCCACUGCUUCGAGGCCGAGAGUGUGCACAGCCACCCUCUGGUCAAGGAAGGCAAGCUCGCCAACCUCCUCGCAUGGCGGGCGGAGGAGGAUUCUCUGGAAGAGGGCGCGGUGCUGUGCGAGUGA
RNAcentral lists this ribosomal RNA (1248 nucleotides) under Triticum aestivum (bread wheat). Its description in RNAcentral is "partial small subunit ribosomal RNA". Lineage: Eukaryota; Viridiplantae; Streptophyta; Magnoliopsida; Poales; Poaceae. The record is from RNAcentral.